AAAAAAAAAAAGAAGAAGAAAAAGAAGAAGAAGAAGAAGAAGAAGGAAAGAAACUUGGAAAAAGACAAUUCCAGUAUACUUUCUGAAAGGAUCUUCAGUAAAAGACUAAUAAUCCAUAUGCUGCAACAGUACUGUCAGUCAGAGGAAGAAGGCUCUGAAAUGAAGUGGGAAGCUACACACAUCAGGACCACCAACGAGAAAGGUGAAGACAGCCCUGAAGCACACACAUCCAACAGAAUGACCGUGAUAUGGACUACAGUUCUUCACUCUGACAGCAUCAGAAGAAAGAAGAAACUGUGAUGAAUUCACCCUGUGUCCUCUACCACCUACCCCCUUUAACCCCUGCCUUAUAUCCUCAUCCUGCACCUCUGGAAGCUCAUUUGUUAGUGCAGUGCCAUGGGUUCUCUUAAUGACUCAACUCAGGGUGCUGGUUGGAGGCUGCUGGGUGCUCCCUCCAUAUAAUAUGUGUCCUAGCCCAGGCUGAGGGGGCAAAUCUGCUCCCUCUAGACUCUGUAUCCAUGUGAGCAGAAUGUCAAAACAUUUGUUGAAAAAGUUUGUGAAGAAUUGCUGCUGAGUUAUUCAGAGCAGGCUACUGAUGAUAAGACCAUGAAUGGGAACAAAAUACCUCACUGGCACAGCACAAGAAUUAAUCAUCUUGAAUCAUAAUAAUUUGUCAUAGGAAAAGAAAAAAACAAAACACUGAGAUUCAAAGGCAGUUUUACAGGAGUGCUUAUCCUGACAGAAGUGGCACGUGGAGCUGUGGGUAUUAUAGCAAGCAGCAUGGGAGGUGCCAGCCUAUGGGAAAUGUGCACACAACUAUCAGAAGGGCAUGCACUAAAAAGUAAAACAUUCAGAUGAACUUUCCAGCCAAACAUAGGCAGUAUUGUAGCUGAUGGCAAGUGUUUACCUGGCAGGAAAGCAGUAUGUGCUACUUGACGUUGGACAGUGAUGCACAAACCAAUGCAGUACAACAAUCUAAGUCAUUUACAGUGACAGAAAAGCCAAAGGAAGAAGACAGAGGCCCAUUACUGGGUAAAAGUAUGUCCGUUUUACAGCUUCCUCAGGAGAAGGAAAGGAGAAAAACAGCUUAAGAAAAAUCUCAGGAUUUUCCAUAGCAUAGUGACAAAUGGCACCUUUUCCAGUUUGUUAGCUAUUAUAUAUAUCUCCAGUAGGGAAAGGAUCAGUGGUACAUAUUUAUCUUUCUCCAUUUACCUUAGGAUGAAAGUCUGUAGAAAGGUAUGUGUGCCUUUUAGCACAAGGUGGCUGGUGCUGUAUAUUCCCUGCAUCUGUUGCCAGUAUGGAGGAAAAAAAUUGCAUGGGAUUUUGUUUAAAAGGAAUGGAAAGGUGAUUAACCCUGUGUUGAAUAAAAUUACUGAGAAGAACAUGGGGUAGUUAGCUAGGCAUGGAUAAACCCUCGAGAAAGGCAUGAGGAUAUUCUGCAUUGCCUGAAAAUGAAAAGCGACACAGGAAGAUCUAAGACUCAUCACAGGUGCCAAAAUGAAACUAAAUCAAGCCAAACCUCAAAAGGUUCCUCAAAAGCAAAGCAGGCUUUGCUUUACAUAGGCUGGAAAAACAAAACCACGUACCCUAUGCUAUUUUUCUUUCUUUGCUGAGCUAGCCUAAAUAGAAGAUAUUAUAGAUGAGUGUAUGUGUCAAAAGCAUUGGAUAAGUUGGGAUGCAGCUGACAUAAGUGUAAGUGACAGCGACAUUAUUUAGUUUAAGUAGUUUGCAGUUAAGUAUAGACUCAGACAUAAUCUUGCCAAUGGAACGGUUCCCACCCUAAUAUGUGAGUAAGAAAUGGUGCCAGAUUAAUAAACAGCUUAUUGAAGAGAAGCCAGAGCCGGAGCCUGAUCCACAUUUAGAGCAACUGAGUUUGAGAGCAGCAUCAGUGAUGCAUGGAGCUGUCACCUGAGGAUGUUUUUUCCUACAGAAAACUGAUAUUCAGACUAGCUGCAUUAUUAGACACCAGAGACUUGUAGAAAUAAAAGGUGGGAUAGCAAGGCAAACUCCUCGGUUAAACUCCCUGUUCAGGCCGCCGGCUGAGCAUAAGGCGGAUGGUGCAGAGGGGCUGUGCCGGCCUCAAGGGGGUUUUGCUUUCACUCUAAAGCAGCUCGGCCCUGCACACGCCGUGCCCUCGCCAUGCCGCCAUGACGCCGCUGGGUGUCGCCCACGCUGAGGCCGCGGCGCGGAGGCGGGGCGCGUGGCGCUGCACAAAAGGAGCGGCGGCCUUGUUGUGGUCGCCGCCAUCUUGGCUCGCCGCCUGUCUCGUUGUGGGGUGGGAGGAGGCGGGGCGAAGCGGCCGCCCUAAGGCGAGGUUUAACCCUGCGGAUAAUGUGCGUCAGGAUGCGUCUUGUCCUUUAACGGCGCACUUGGCGGCGUAGCAACACCGUCAGGGUGGGCGGCUGAGGGAAAGUCUUGCCCACGGUUUUGCAUGAGAGGAGGAGCCUUGCAGCGGCAGUGCGUGGGGUUAAGAGCAGUUGGUGGCACAAAGGAAUGCAGCGUGCAGAGCGUGCUGGAGGCUCUGCGAGCAGCUGACGUGAUUUGCUGGGAAAUUGAAUUUGGGAGCACAGUGCAAAUCAAAUCAGGGACAGAAAAGUGAUAAGAAUGCUGAGCAAGGGCUUGUGCUGGGAAGCACGGAUGAAGACUGAUUUUGCAGCUGUAGGAAUGGCAGAGCAUGCCCAGCUGCCUGAAAACCAAAAUCAAGAGGUAAAAUCAUUUCUGUUGGAAUGCAGCUGGCCCACCUUCCUUAUUCUCUAAGCCAUCUUAGAGGGUAAAGGGGCUAUGAACUUUGCAGAGGUUCACAAGUAGCACCUGACAUCCCAGCAGUCUGCAAUAGGC
This is a non-coding RNA of Coturnix japonica (Japanese quail), 2838 nucleotides long. The record is from RefSeq and is a predicted model, not a curated record. Lineage: Eukaryota; Metazoa; Chordata; Aves; Galliformes; Phasianidae.